AUACGUAGGGGGCGAGCGUUGUCCGGAAUGAUUGGGCGUAAAGGGCGCGUAGGCGGCCCGGUAAGUCUGGAGUGAAAGUCCUGUUUUUAAGAUGGGAAUUGCUUUGGAUACUGUCGGGCUUGAGUGCAGGAGAGGUAAGUGGAAUUCCCAGUGUAGCGGUGAAAUGCGUAGAGAUUGGGAGGAACACCAGUGGCGAAGGCGACUUACUGGACUGCAACUGACGCUGAGGCGCGAAAGUGUGGGGAGCAAACAGGAUUAGAUACCCUGGUAGUCCACACUGUAAACGAUGAAUGCUAGGUGUAGGGGGUAUCGACCCUUUCUGUGCCGCAGUCAACACAAUAAGCAUUCCGCCUGGGGAGUACGGCCGCAAGGUUGAAACUCAAAUGAAUUGACGGGG
RNAcentral lists this ribosomal RNA (397 nucleotides) under uncultured bacterium. RNAcentral's name for it is "partial 16S ribosomal RNA". It matches the Rfam family "Bacterial small subunit ribosomal RNA", at positions 523 to 918 of the family's 1533-position model. The record is from RNAcentral.